CGGCGGCGUCCGGUGAGCUCUCGCUGGCC
This 29-nucleotide non-coding RNA is filed under the name Drosophila melanogaster (fruit fly). Lineage: Eukaryota; Metazoa; Arthropoda; Insecta; Diptera; Drosophilidae. RNAcentral also lists the same sequence under 7 other names. The record is from RNAcentral.